CCCAAGUGCCCCGGAGGACGCGCGAAGGUGUGACCGGAAGAGCCGAGGGAGCCGAGGAGUGGGGACCUAUUGCCCAGGCCUGAGAAGCCCAGAGUCGUCAUGGGCCGGAUCACAGAAGAGCUGAUCAGACGGAACGCCGAGCACAAUGACUGUGUCAUUUUUUCCCUGGAGGAGCUUUCCCUGCAUCAGCAAGAAAUAGAAAGACUAGAACAUAUUGACAAAUGGUGCCGGGAUUUGAAAAUCCUGUAUCUUCAAAAUAAUCUCAUUGGAAAAAUUGAAAAUGUUGGCAAACUCAAGAAACUUGAAUAUUUGAAUUUAGCUUUAAACAACAUCGAAAAAAUCGAAAACUUGGAAGGAUGUGAAGGGCUGACGAAACUUGACUUGACAGUAAACUUCAUUGGAGAGCUGAGCAGCGUCAAGUCCCUUCAGCACAACAUCCACCUCAAAGAGCUUUUCCUCAUGGGUAACCCAUGUGCUGACUUUGACGGCUACAGGCCUUUCGUGGUGGCGAUUCUCCAGCAACUCAAGUGGCUGGAUGGUAAAGAAAUAGAGCGCUCAGAAAGGAUCCAGGCCUUGCAGAACUUUCCAGAAAUUGAGCCACAAAUCAGAAAGCAGGAGGAAACUUACUGCCUCAAACGAGCCAAAGAAAAGGAAGAUGCUCAGAGGAAACAGCAAGAGCAUGAAAUGGAGGAGGAGAGGCGUCCCUCAGACUGCAGGGACCCCGAGCCAGGGGACAUUGGCAGCACUCAUACCUCUUCCUGGAUGGAGAGCAACGAGCACUCACAGAUGCCGGGAGCACCAGAAGGACACAACAGAAAGAAGCCAGACAACAACCAAGAGGACUUGGAGUUCUGGAAUAAACCCUCUCUGUUCACGCCUGAAUCCAGACUGGAGACGCUUAGACAUAUGGAAAAACAACGAAGAGACCGAGAACGAUCAAGUGAAAAGAAGAAGAAAGUGAAACCGCCCAGGACUUUGAUCACUGAAGAUGGGACACCCCUGAAUGUAAAUGAACCCAAACUUGACUUCUCUCUGAAAGAUGAUGAAACCCGUCACCAGAUCACCCUGGACCUUGCUGUCUAUAGGUACCUGGACACCUCUUUGAUCGAGGUCGAUGUGCAGCCAACUUACGUGCGAGUGAUGGUCAAAGGGAAGCCGUUUCAGCUCGUCCUCCCUGCAGAAGUCAAGCCCGACAGCAGCUCUGCCAAGAGAUCUCAGACAACAGGGCACCUUCUGGUCUGCAUGCCCAAGGUAGGAGAAAUAAUCACAGCUGGCCACCACACAUCCAAGUCUGUGAAAAGUACCUUGGAUAGCGGCAGAGAGCAAACAAACAGAUAAGGGCACCGAGGCCCAUCCUGGCCCUGCAGCGUCUCCAGGUGGCUCAGAGAAAUGAAGCCCAAGGUCAGACAAGAACCCCAGGGUCUGUCAGCCAGCGCACCCUAACAAGUGCUGUAGUUCGUCCGAAGGCUACAAGCAACUCUUGUGCAUACACAAAUGAGCACCUGUCAAAGAUUUUUGUGCAACUCACUGAGUCAUGAGCCAUUUAGAUGUGAUUAGUUCAAAGGAGACCUUGAAGAAUGGAGAGCUAGAUGGGUCAUUCCUGACCACCCCAGGGAUGCUAGAAUAACUUUACUAAAAGGUUAAAAACAAGUUAAUAUUUACAAGGUCUUCCAAAAUAAGUUUUUUUUUUUUUAACAGAGCACAAAUCAACUGUAGUGCUACAGCACAAAUUCAUUCAUGUGACUCAGUUUCUUAGAAGUUAACGUUUACCUGUGAAGACCUAGAAACAGCAUCCUCAACAGGAGAGAGCAGCCACGGGUACCAGGACCUCUAGACCAGCUAAUCCCCACAGGGAGUUGACUGACCUUGCUCAUUUCCUGACACCGGAAAAGGUUUCAGUGGCGUCCAAGCCUGAGCCCUUGCCCUCUCUGCCAGGUGAGGCUGAGACUAGUCAGGUCCCGGCCUCCUGGCCAGAGCUGCAGACUCUCGAAAAGCAGAUUCUCCGCUUGCAGCAUGGUUGUGCAGGUGACGGACCCCUCCACCUGCCUGGCAUCAGCUCCCGCCGCCUCUUCACACUCCCUCGCAGAGACGUCAGGGGGGAGCCAGGGAGACGCUGGUCGUGCUGGGCUCUGCGGUACAGGACUGGGGCACCGGGGCCCUCCGGGUUCAGCGAGACCCUUGGCAAGGCGCGCCUCUCCCUGUCGCUAAGGCCAAGUUGACCCCCUGCCCUGCCUUUCUCACAGGCACCAAUUCUGGGGGCUGCCCCUUCUAGAUACCUCUUGCCCUGAUCCCCUCCUGCGGGAUCUGCUGCCCUGCAGGCCACGGCCUCCCUCAGCAGGGGCCCACCGAGGGGGUUGCCACAGACCCCAUGCAUCUCCUCCAGGUGCUCCCUCCCCAGUCACCUGAAGGCCCUUUCUGAGCCCAGACCACAGCCAGCGUCAGGUCCUCAAGUUCCCACGCUGCCCGCCCCGCCCUGCACCACUGCGGCUCCUGCGGCCCUGGCCUGAAGCUGCCUGGUGCCCAGCACCCCGGCAGAGGCUGAGCCUCCACCUGACACCGCCUUCUCAGCAGCAAAGCCACACCCACCGUGGUCUGAGGUGCAGACUGGAGAUGCCCUAGGGUGAAUCCUGACACGGCCCUUCCUUGGCUGCGACAUCCCGGCAGGGCAUGAAGCUCCCGGAGUGUCAUUUCACCAUGGCUGAUGUAGGGAGACAUCACCAUGACGCCCAGCUCACAACUUCGCUGCAGGCCCAAGUGGGGUCACCUAGUAGGUCACCGUCAGGUGUAGGUGAUGGGGACGGCAGGCGCCUCUAGCGGGGCUGCAAUAUGCCAUGAGGAUAGGGACCGGCGCAGGGGCUUUGCAUUAUUUCGUCUCUUCAAGCAAAUG
RNA transcript from Condylura cristata (star-nosed mole), 2887 nucleotides. It is a transcript of the gene named leucine rich repeat containing 6, with no coding region annotated. The record is from RefSeq and is a predicted model, not a curated record. Lineage: Eukaryota; Metazoa; Chordata; Mammalia; Eulipotyphla; Talpidae. The transcript is spliced from 14 exons.